CUGUCUUUUUCUUCAGCUUUGUUCAUAAUAAAUACAAUAUAGAGAAGAUUAGUAUAGCUCGUGAGGAAGGAUGACCUUCGAAUUCAUGAAAUAUUCCAGAUUUUG
Molecule: small nuclear RNA, 105 nt
Organism: Podarcis muralis (Common wall lizard)
Lineage: Eukaryota; Metazoa; Chordata; Lepidosauria; Squamata; Lacertidae
Source: Ensembl